Molecule: long non-coding RNA, 495 nt
Filed under: Mytilus galloprovincialis (Mediterranean mussel)
Lineage: Eukaryota; Metazoa; Mollusca; Bivalvia; Mytilida; Mytilidae
Source: RNAcentral
UUUUUUUUAAAUUUUUAGACUUAUUCUAAAAUUGCGAUUUAAUGGUAGAUUUUUUUUUUCGUUUCUGUUAAACGUAUUCACAGUUUUUAUUUAAUUAAUGACGAUUAAGACUUUGACAAAAUUUAUUACAGGGGCGGAUCCAGCCAUUUUAAAAGGGGGUCCCAACCCAGAGUAACUAUAUGUUCCCAUUCAAAUGCAUUGAUCUUCCGAUCCCCUCCCCCUGAAUCCGCCACUGCGAAUUAUGUACUUUCAAAUCGGUGUAUGAAAAAAGGGUUAUUGAGUUUGGAUUAAUUGCGUUUGAAUUUCUUUCCCUCAAUGAUAUGCGUAGAGAAAGAUGUAAUAUUACCUAAAUUUAAAAUGUUAUAUAAACAAAAAAUACGUUUCUCUUUCCAAUCUUGUACUCCCCAACCCCCACAAAUUUCUUUUCAUCUACUGUAUGAGUUUUUAAUACACGUCCAUCUAAAUGAAGUCUAAUUGAUCCCCAGUUAAUCCCCC